UGGUAGCUUGAUUAUUGGCUAUGCCAGGA
This 29-nucleotide non-coding RNA is filed under the name Rattus norvegicus (Norway rat). Lineage: Eukaryota; Metazoa; Chordata; Mammalia; Rodentia; Muridae. The record is from RNAcentral.